This 254-nucleotide ribosomal RNA is filed under the name uncultured bacterium. RNAcentral describes it as "partial 16S ribosomal RNA". It matches the Rfam family "Bacterial small subunit ribosomal RNA", at positions 524 to 776 of the family's 1533-position model. The record is from RNAcentral.
UACGAAGGGGGCUAGCGUUGCUCGGAAUGACUGGGCGUAAAGGGCUCGUAGGCGGCCAACUAAGUCAGACGUGAAAUCCCUCGGCGUUAACCGGGGAACUGCGUCUGAUACUGGAUGGCUUGAGGUUGGGAGAGGGAUGCGGAAUUCCAGGUGUAGCGGAUGAAAUGCGUAGAUAUCUGGAGGAACACCGGUGGCGAAGGCGGCAUCCUGGACCAAUUCUGACGCUGAGGAGCGAAAGCCAGGGAGCAAACGGG